Molecule: ribosomal RNA, 427 nt
Filed under: uncultured bacterium
Lineage: Bacteria
Description: partial 16S ribosomal RNA
Rfam family: Bacterial small subunit ribosomal RNA
Source: RNAcentral
UGGGGAAUAUUGCACAAUGGGCGCAAGCCUGAUGCAGCCAUGCCGCGUGUGUGAAGAAGGCCUUCGGGUUGUAAAGCACUUUCAGCGAGGAGGAAGGGUAGUGUGUUAAUAGCACAUUGCAUUGACGUUACUCGCAGAAGAAGCACCGGCUAACUCCGUGCCAGCAGCCGCGGUAAUACGAAGGGUGCAAGCGUUAAUCGGAAUUACUGGGCGUAAAGCGCACGCAGGCGGUUUGUUAAGUCAGAUGUGAAAUCCCCGCGCUUAACGUGGGAACUGCAUUUGAAACUGGCAAGCUAGAGUCUUGUAGAGGGGGGUAGAAUUCCAGGUGUAGCGGUGAAAUGCGUAGAGAUCUGGAGGAAUACCGGUGGCGAAGGCGGCCCCCUGGACAAAGACUGACGCUCAGGUGCGAAAGCGUGGGGAGCAAACA